This 556-nucleotide ribosomal RNA is filed under the name Eupanteos sp. n. 1 MB-2015. RNAcentral's name for it is "partial 16S ribosomal RNA". The stretch from base 399 to 556 matches the Rfam family "Bacterial large subunit ribosomal RNA", at positions 2473 to 2631 of the family's 2925-position model. Lineage: Eukaryota; Metazoa; Arthropoda; Insecta; Coleoptera; Anthribidae. The record is from RNAcentral.
UUUAUUAAAAACAUGUCUUUUUGAAUAAUAAUUUAAAGUCUUCCCUGCCCCCUGAAAAUUAAAUGGCCGCGGUAUUUUGACCGUGCAAAGGUAGCAUAAUCAUUAGUUUUUUUAUUGAAAGCUGGAAUGAAAGGGAGAAUGAAAAAAUUUCUGUCUCUAAUUUAUUUAAUUAAAAUUUUAUUUUUAAGUAAAAAAGCUUAAAUUUCAUUAAAAGACGAUAAGACCCUAUAGAGUUUAAUAUAAUAUAAAAAAUUUAUAAAAAAGAAUUAAAUUUAUUUAUUUUUUUAUUAUAUUUUAUUGGGGUGAUAAAAAAAUUUAUUAAACUUUUUUUAAUAUUUAACAUUAAUUUAUGAAUUAUUGAUCCAAUAUUUUUGAUUAUAAGAUUAAAUUACCUUAGGGAUAACAGCGUUAUUUUUUUUAAGAGUUCUAAUCGAAAAAAAAGUUUGCGACCUCGAUGUUGGAUUAAAAUUAAAUUUUGGAGUAGCAAUUAAAAAUUUAGGUCUGUUCGACCUUUAAAAUUUUACAUGAUCUGAGUUUARACCGGUGUGAGCCAGGU